GCAUAUCAAUAAGCGGAGGAAAAGAAACCACACGGGUAUGCCUCAGUACGGCGAGUGAAGCGGCAAAAGCUCAAAUUUGAAAUCCCCAGGGAAUUGUAUUUUGAAGGUUCUUAAAGUUGAUGGCCCCGAUUUUCAAGUUCAUUGGAAAAUGACACCACAGAGGGUGAUAGUCCCGUAGAAAAUCCCCCCCAUCUCUCCCUUUAAGUUCCAAAGAGUCGAGUUGUUUGGGAAUGCAGCUCUAAGUGGGUGGUAAAUUCCAUCUAAAGCUAAAUAUUGGCGAGAGACCGAUAGCGAACAAGUACAGUGAUGGAAAGAUGAAAAGCACUUUGAAAAGAGAGUGAAAAAGUACGUGAAAUUGUUGAAAGGGAAGGGCUUGCAAGCAGACACAACCUCGGUUGGGCCAGCAUCGGGGCGAAGGGGAUUAAAAAAAGGCAGGAAUGUAACUCUCGAGUAUUAUAUCCUACCCCCAUAAUCCCACUUCAUCCCGAGGCCUGCGAUCUUCUAGGAUGCUGGCGUAAUGGUUGCAAGUCGCCCGUCUUGAAACACGGACC
RNAcentral lists this ribosomal RNA (551 nucleotides) under Metschnikowia colchici. RNAcentral describes it as "partial large subunit ribosomal RNA". It matches the Rfam family "Eukaryotic large subunit ribosomal RNA", at positions 38 to 667 of the family's 3401-position model. The record is from RNAcentral. Lineage: Eukaryota; Fungi; Ascomycota; Pichiomycetes; Serinales; Metschnikowiaceae.